GGUUUCCUAGUGUAAUGGUUAUCACUGCGGAUUCUGAUCACAUAUCGUGAAUAUUCCGCCGAUCUGGGUUCGAUUCCCAGGGAGACCU
Molecule: non-coding RNA, 88 nt
Organism: Hypoxylon sp. CI-4A
Lineage: Eukaryota; Fungi; Ascomycota; Sordariomycetes; Xylariales; Hypoxylaceae
Source: the annotation of a GenBank genome assembly